UCGAGAAUCUUCGGCAAUGGGCGCAAGCCUGACCGAGCGACGCCGCGUGUGCGAUGAAGGCCUUCGGGUUGUAAAGCACUGUCGAGGGGGAUCAAAGCGCAAGCUUGAGAGAUCCCUGGAGGAAGCACGGGCUAAGUUCGUGCCAGCAGCCGCGGUAAGACGAACCGUGCGAACGUUGUUCGGAAUCACUGGGCUUAAAGGGCGCGUAGGCGGUCGGGCAAGUCCGGGGUGAAAUCCUGCAGCUUAACUGUAGAAGUGCCUUGGAUACUGCUCGGCUCGAGGGAGGUAGGGGUCUGUGGAACUUCUGGUGGAGCGGUGAAAUGCGUUGAUAUCAGAAGGAACGCCGGUGGCGAAAGCGGCAGACUGGACCUCUCUAACGCUGAGGCGCGAAAGCUAGGGGAGCAAACGGGAUUAGGAUACCCCGGUAGUCCUAGCCCUAAACGUUGAGCACUAGAUUGCAGACUAG
Molecule: ribosomal RNA, 466 nt
Filed under: uncultured Planctomycetota bacterium
Lineage: Bacteria; Pseudomonadati; Planctomycetota
Description: bacterial SSU rRNA
Rfam family: Bacterial small subunit ribosomal RNA
Source: RNAcentral